RNAcentral lists this ribosomal RNA (384 nucleotides) under Candidatus Endomicrobiellum neotermitis. Its description in RNAcentral is "bacterial SSU rRNA". It matches the Rfam family "Bacterial small subunit ribosomal RNA", at positions 1 to 381 of the family's 1533-position model. Lineage: Bacteria; Pseudomonadati; Elusimicrobiota; Endomicrobiia; Endomicrobiales; Endomicrobiaceae. The record is from RNAcentral.
UUUAUGGAGAGUUUGAUCCUGGCUCAGAGUGAACGCUGGCGGCGUGCCUAACACAUGCAAGUCGUGCGGGGUUUUACAAAGGUAUCGUAAAAUCUAGCGGCAAACGGGUGAGUAACGCGUAGGGAACCUUCCUUAAAAUGGGGGAUAUCUUCGAGAAAUCGAAGUCAAUACCGCAUAAGACCACAGUUUGGAAUCAUACAGAGGUAAAAGCAGUAAUGCGUUUUAAGACGGCCCUGCGUCCUAUCAGCUAGUUGGUAGGGUAAUUGCCUACCAAGGCUAUGACGGGUAUCCGGCCUGAAAGGGUGAACGGACACACUGGAACUGAGACACGGUCCAGACUCCUACGGGAGGCAGCAGUGGGGAAUUUUGGACAAUGGGGGAAAC